AGCGGGGUAGGGCAGCCAGGAGUGCCCGUCGGGCUCAUAACCCGAAGGUCAAAGGUUCAAAUCCUUUCCCCGCUA
This 75-nucleotide transfer RNA is filed under the name Candidatus Iainarchaeum sp. RNAcentral describes it as "tRNA-Met". It matches the Rfam family "tRNA". Rfam says of the family: Transfer RNA (tRNA) molecules are approximately 80 nucleotides in length. Their secondary structure includes four short double-helical elements and three loops (D, anti-codon, and T loops). Further hydrogen bonds mediate the characteristic L-shaped molecular structure. tRNAs have two regions of fundamental functional importance: the anti-codon, which is responsible for specific mRNA codon recognition, and the 3' end, to which the tRNAs corresponding amino acid is attached (by aminoacyl-tRNA synthetases). tRNAs cope with the degeneracy of the genetic code in two manners: having more than one tRNA (with a specific anti-codon) for a particular amino acid; and 'wobble' base-pairing, i.e. permitting non-standard base-pairing at the 3rd anti-codon position. Lineage: Archaea; Nanobdellati; Candidatus Iainarchaeota; Candidatus Iainarchaeia; Candidatus Iainarchaeales; Candidatus Iainarchaeaceae. The record is from RNAcentral.